AACGACUCUCGGCAACGGAUAUCUCGGCUCUCGCAUCGAUGAAGAACGUAGCGAAAUGCGAUACUUGGUGUGAAUUGCAGAAUCCCGUGAACCAUCGAGUCUUUGAACGCAAGUUGCGCCCUAAGCCUUUUGGCCGAGGGCACGUCUGCCUGGGUGUCACA
Molecule: ribosomal RNA, 161 nt
Filed under: Yinshania henryi
Lineage: Eukaryota; Viridiplantae; Streptophyta; Magnoliopsida; Brassicales; Brassicaceae
Also listed under: 5 other names
Description: 5.8S ribosomal RNA
Rfam family: 5.8S ribosomal RNA
About the family: 5.8S ribosomal RNA (5.8S rRNA) is a component of the large subunit of the eukaryotic ribosome.
Source: RNAcentral